Molecule: small RNA, 182 nt
Filed under: Arabidopsis thaliana (thale cress)
Lineage: Eukaryota; Viridiplantae; Streptophyta; Magnoliopsida; Brassicales; Brassicaceae
Description: ATSL296900
Source: RNAcentral
AUUAUAAUUAUGUCGAAAAUAUAUGUUAUCAUAAAUUUAGGCUAUGAAUAGUGACAUGCGAAUAUGCAUUGGAGUGUGGUUUAUCUACAUUAUCCGCAUUUUGUAAUUAUUCUGUACUUUUUAUUUAUUUGUGAAGCGGUAUUCAACGGUGAUGUGCGGUUCAAUUAUAAUCAACUGCCAUU